Molecule: transfer RNA, 66 nt
Filed under: Urechis unicinctus
Lineage: Eukaryota; Metazoa; Annelida; Polychaeta; Xenopneusta; Urechidae
Description: tRNA-Met
Source: RNAcentral
AGUAGAGUAAGCUAAGUCUAAGCUAUUGGGUUCAUACCCCAGCAAUGAAUAUAAAUUCCUCUACUA